RNAcentral lists this long non-coding RNA (2358 nucleotides) under Canis lupus familiaris (dog). Its description in RNAcentral is "lncRNA (ENSCAFG00845007098.1)". The record is from RNAcentral. Lineage: Eukaryota; Metazoa; Chordata; Mammalia; Carnivora; Canidae.
UUUUUUUUUUUUUUAAAGAUUUUAUUUAUUUACUCAUGAGAAACAGAGAGACAGAGAGGCAGAGACACAGGCGGAGGGAGAAGCAGGCUCCAUGCAGGGAGCCUGACAUGAGACUCGAUUCCGGGUCUCCAGGAUCAGGCCCUGGGCUGAAGGCAGCACUAAACCGCUGAGACACCCGGGCUGCCCUGAAACUUAUUUUCACACAGGAAUUUGUACAGGAAUGUUCCUAGCAGCUUUAUUUAUAAUGAAUGGCCCAAAGUUGAAAAGUACCCAAAUGUCCUUCAGUGAGUAAAUGGUUAAACAAAUUGUGGUACAUCCAUGCUAUAGAACACUACUCAGCAAUAAAAAGGAUAUGUAUGUGUAUGUAUGUAUGUAUGUAUUAUAUGUAUGUAUACAUAUAAAUAAAAUUUUGGUGAACCUCAAGGAAAUUUUGCUGAAUGGAAAAAAAAAAGCCAAUCUCAAAAGGGUAUAUACUGCAUCAUUCCACUUCUGCAACAUUGUAAAAUAGCUUAAAAACAUAAAUGGAAAAUAAUUUGUUAGUGAUUUCUAAGGGCUACAGGUGGAGAGAUGUGCAUCUAUAAAGUAGUAACAUGAGGGGAUAUUUUAGUGAUGGUACGAGUGUAAACUGCACACACACACACACACGAGUGCAUCUAUACCUUCUGAAAUGUGAAUAAGUCCUAUAAAUUAUGCCAAUGUCAAUUUCUUGGUUUUAAAAUCGUAUUACAAAUGUGUUAUUAUGCUAGCAUUGGGAGGUUUAGGAAUAUAAGGAAGGGUUCAUGGAAUUUCUUUGUGUAUUUCUUUGCAAUGUCUUGUGAAUCUUAUUUUAUUUCAUUAUUUCAAAAUGAAAUAUCUACAAAAUUUCACUUCUGCUAAAAUAAUUUUGAUAGGCAGAACCUUAAGAGACAAUGCAAUGCUUAAAAGUUUGCAUUUUGGGACUCUGUCACAUUUUGAGAAUACUGAUGUUCACUUUUAUUCACCUUCCAAUGGGAGGCUUUCAAAAGCUUUGUGCUCAGACUAGUCCACUGUGUAAGUCUACAGGAAGAUUACAUACACAUACAUGCCCAUGAACAAGAGCUUGGAGGUGGUUUUUAAAUAUUGAAUGUGCGUUUUCAUUUUAUCUUUUGGGUUAUUUUUAUUAUUCUUUGCAAACAUGAAAUGGAAUCUGAUUCUAGGAUACAAUACUAAGAAUAUAUUUUGUAUAAGUAAAGGAAAAUUUAUACAUAUUUAUAUUGUUUUUAUCUCUGUAAAAAAAUUAAAACCCUUUUUAAAUUAAUAUUUUAAAUAUACAUUUAUAAAAUAAUACACCCAUUUUCAUAUUUUAUUAACUUAUAUUUACUAAAAAUUUCAAGCUUAACAAUAAAAAUUAUUGGUAGGUUCUAAACAAAUAUUUCAAUUAGUGAUUUUGUUCAUGCUUAGGCCCUUUGUUGCAUUAUGUUCUUCCUUAGAGGCCAUCAGUACUGACAAAUUCAUUUUCAAUUAUAAGACAAAAAAUGCUCAUGAAAUCAACUAAUUUUACUACAAAUAUUUACUAAUAUUUUAUAUUUACCUUAUAUCCUUUAAUCACUUAAAAGUAAUUAUAUAUAUUUGUUGUAUCUAUAUAGCUUUCAUGUUUUUAUAAAAGUUUUAUUUAUUUUUUUUAAAUUUAUUUUUUAUUGGUGUUAAAUUUUUAUAAAAGUUUUAAAAAGCCAGGAGGAAACAUAAAGGAAAAAGUGUUAUUUCAAAAGCUAACUCAAUUUUUAGCCAGUAGAACUAAGGAAAUCUCUCUAUGAUUUUCUUUUUUUAGUUAUAUUUGCUGAGAAUCUGUAGGCACAAGAUUACUGCAGAAAAUGAACUUGCAAAUUUUCUGUUUAAGAAAAGAUAAGAAUUUAGGUACUUGAAGAAGGAAAAGAUAAAGAGUGUAAAGGAGAAAGCCAGGAAAAUGGAUACCGGGAACAAAUUUGAUGAAAAAUUUUGCUCCAGAGAAAUUUUCAGUGACAUUUCAGGCCAUCCAAUUUUAGAACACUGAAGUCAAAUAUCAAUAUUUAGUGAUUCUGUGUUACAAUCUUCAUCUUCUUUUAUAUAGGUUAAUAAAAUUAGCUAUUCAGAGCCUACAUUUUUUUUUGUAGCAAAGGAAGAGGGACAUUGCCAAUUAUGAGGUAAACCAGUGUGAGAAGAAAACAGGAACAGAACUGCCAUCAACCAAGCAGGAGUGUUGGAGAUUCCAACAGGAAAUGCAUUGGAAAAUGAGGUACACAUUAGAAAUUAUACCUCUCAACAUUGACAUAAUACUUGGAAGUGUCCCGGAAAUGCCACAGAAAUUAUUAUGUCCUCUCAACUGUUUUCAGAAUAAAGCAGCAGCUACUUGAAAGAAAGUUA